AGCGGCGGACGGGUGAGUAACGCGUGGGUAACCUGCCUCAUACAGGGGGAUAACAGUCAGAAAUGACUGCUAAUACCGCAUAAGACCACGGUACCGCAUGGUACAGUGGUAAAAACUCCGGUGGUAUGAGAUGGACCCGCGUCUGAUUAGGUAGUUGGUGGGGUAACGGCCCACCAAGGCGACGAUCAGUAGCCGACCUGAGAGGGUGACCGGCCACAUUGGGACUGAGACACGGCCCAG
Molecule: ribosomal RNA, 240 nt
Filed under: uncultured bacterium
Lineage: Bacteria
Description: partial 16S ribosomal RNA
Rfam family: Bacterial small subunit ribosomal RNA
Source: RNAcentral